RNAcentral lists this ribosomal RNA (492 nucleotides) under uncultured bacterium. Its description in RNAcentral is "partial 16S ribosomal RNA". It matches the Rfam family "Bacterial small subunit ribosomal RNA", at positions 29 to 507 of the family's 1533-position model. The record is from RNAcentral.
AGUGAACGCUGGCGGUAGGCCUAACACAUGCAAGUCGAACGGCAGCACAGUAAGAGCUUGCUCUUACGGGUGGCGAGUGGCGGACGGGUGAGGCAUACAUCGGAAUCUACUUUUUCGUGGGGGAUAUCGUAGGGAAACUUACGCUAAUACCGCAUACGACCUACGGGUGAAAGCAGGGGAUCUUCGGACCUUGCGCGAUUGAAUGAGCCGAUGUCGGAUUAGCUAGUUGGCGGGGUAAAGGCCCACCAAGGCGACGAUCCGUAGCUGGUCUGAGAGGAUGAUCAGCCACACUGGAACUGAGACACGGUCCAGACUCCUACGGGAGGCAGCAGUGGGGAAUAUUGGACAAUGGGCGCAAGCCUGAUCCAGCCAUACCGCGUGGGUGAAGAAGGCCUUCGGGUUGUAAAGCCCUGUUGUUGGGAAAGAAAAGCAGCAGGUUAAUACCCCGCUGUUCUGACGGUACCCAAAGAAUAAGCACCGGCUAACUUCGUG